Molecule: ribosomal RNA, 518 nt
Filed under: Trigonopterus sp. 31 MB-2011
Lineage: Eukaryota; Metazoa; Arthropoda; Insecta; Coleoptera; Curculionidae
Description: SSU rRNA
Rfam family: Eukaryotic small subunit ribosomal RNA
Source: RNAcentral
GAAACCGCAAAAGGCUCAUUAAAUCAGUUAUGGUUCCUUAGAUCGUACCCACAAUUACUUGGAUAACUGUGGUAAUUCUAGAGCUAAUACAUGCAAACAGAGCUCCGACCGGAGACGGAAGGAGUGCUUUUAUUAGAUCAAAACCAAUCGGUGGCGGGUUCGCUCGUUAUCGUACAACUUGGUGACUCUGAAUAACUUUAGGCUGAUCGCACGGUCAUCGCACCGGCGACGCAUCUUUCAAAUGUCUGCCUUAUCAACUGUCGAUGGUAGGUUCUGCGCCUACCAUGGUUGUAACGGGUAACGGGGAAUCAGGGUUCGAUUCCGGAGAGGGAGCCUGAGAAACGGCUACCACAUCCAAGGAAGGCAGCAGGCGCGCAAAUUACCCACUCCCGGCACGGGGAGGUAGUGACGAAAAAUAACGAUACGGGACUCAUCCGAGGCCCCGUAAUCGGAAUGAGUACACUCUAAACCCUUUAACGAGGAUCAAUUGGAGGGCAAGUCUGGUGCCAGCAGCCGCG